UAGGAUUCCCUUAGUAGCGGCGAGCGAACAGGGAAGAGCCCAGCACCGAAUCCCGCGGCCGGCCCGGACGCUGGGAAAUGUGGUGUUAGGGAGGACACAAUAUCUCGAGAUUGUGCGGCGAGUCCAAGUCCUUCUUGAACGGGGCCACUGCCCAUAGAGGGUGCCAGGCCCGUAGUGACCGUUGCCGAUCGCGAGGUGAUCUCUCCUCAGAGUCGGGUUGCUUGAGAGUGCAGCCCUAAGUGGGUGGUAAACUCCAUCUAAGGCUAAAUAUAACCACGAGACCGAUAGCGAACAAGUACCGUGAGGGAAAGUUGAAAAGAACUUUGAAGAGAGAGUUCAAUAGUACGUGAAACCGUUCAGGGGUAAACCUGAGAAACCCGAAAGGUCGAAAGGGGAGAUUCAUUCGCGUUUCGGGGGCUAAGUUGGGCGAUUGCGUGACGGAAGGUUUCGGCCGACCGCUCCUUUCGUUCGUCGAAAUGCUCACGAACGCGUGCACUUCUCCCCAAGUAGGACGUCGCGAUCCGUUAGGCGCCGGUCUAAGGCCCGUGGUGGAGCCCUACGGACGGUUUACCGUCCGUUGGACCCGCGGUGUUCCCGGCCGGCUCGCUCGACGGUAUACUGAUGGCGUAAGACCGCGACUUUAGUUCGCGUCCGGCCCGCGGCAAGCGCGUCACGUCGUCGGCGAUCGGACCUAGUGCCGGUUCCGGCCCGUGAUGGCUGUUCGCUGCGGUGUUCUCGGACAGAUCUUACUGAAACGCCUAUCUGCGGCGCUAUAGCUUUGGGUACUUUCAGGACCCGUCUUGAAACACGGACCAAGGAGUCUAGCAUGUACGCGAGUCAUUGGGACAUAACUAAACCUAAAGGCGCAAUGAAAGUAAAGGUCCGCCUUGCGCGGACUUAGGGAAGAUGGGCGGUCCUUGUGGCCGCUUCGCACUCCCGGGGCGUCUCGUUCUCAUUGCGAGAAGAGGCGCACCAAGAGCGUACACGCUGGGACCCGAAAGAUGGUGAACUAUGCCUGGUCAGGACGAAGUCAGGGGAAACCCUGAUGGAGGUCCGUAGCGAUUCUGACGUGCAAAUCGAUCGUCGGAACUGGGUAUAGGGGCGAAAGACUAAUCGAACCAUCUAGUAGCUGGUUCCCUCCGAAGUUUCCCUCAGGAUAGCUGGCGCUCGUUGCGCACGAGUCUCAUCCGGUAAAGCGAAUGAUUAGAGGCAUUGGGGUCGAAACGGCCUCAACCUAUUCUCAAACUUUAAAUGGGUGAGAUCUUCGGCUUGCUCGAACUAUUGAAGCCGUAAGACACGGAUCAGAGUGCCAAGUGGGCCAUUUUUG
This 1327-nucleotide ribosomal RNA is filed under the name Grynoma sp. DDM0035. RNAcentral's name for it is "eukaryotic LSU rRNA". It matches the Rfam family "Eukaryotic large subunit ribosomal RNA", at positions 70 to 1139 of the family's 3401-position model. The record is from RNAcentral. Lineage: Eukaryota; Metazoa; Arthropoda; Insecta; Coleoptera; Lophocateridae.